GACGAACGCUGGCGGCGUGCCUAAUACAUGCAAGUAGAACGCUGAAGAGAGGAGCUUGCUCUUCUUGGAUGAGUUGCGAACGGGUGAGUAACGCGUAGGUAACCUGCCUUGUAGCGGGGGAUAACUAUUGGAAACGAUAGCUAAUACCGCAUAACAAUGGAUGACACAUGUCAUUUAUUUGAAAGGGGCAAUUGCUCCACUACAAGAUGGACCUGCGUUGUAUUAGCUAGUAGGUGAGGUAAUGGCUCACCUAGGCGACGAUACAUAGCCGACCUGAGAGGGUGAUCGGCCAUACUGGGACUGAGACACGGCCCAGACUCCUACGGGAGGCAGCAGUAGGGAAUCUUCGGCAAUGGGGGCAACCCUGACCGAGCAACGCCGCGUGAGUGAAGAAGGUUUUCGGAUCGUAAAGCUCUGUUGUAAGUCAAGAACGGGUGUGAGAGUGGAAAGUUCACAGUGUGACGGUAGCUUACCAGAAAGGGACGGCUAACUACGUG
This 497-nucleotide ribosomal RNA is filed under the name uncultured bacterium. RNAcentral describes it as "partial 16S ribosomal RNA". It matches the Rfam family "Bacterial small subunit ribosomal RNA", at positions 28 to 507 of the family's 1533-position model. The record is from RNAcentral.